UGGGCGCAACCUGAACCAGCCACGUCGCGUGAAGGAAGACGGCCCUACGGGUUGUAAACUUCUUUUGCAAGGGAAUAAAGUGUAGUACGUGUCCUAUUUUGCAUGUACCUUGCGAAUAAGGAUCGGCUAACUCCGUG
RNAcentral lists this ribosomal RNA (137 nucleotides) under uncultured bacterium. Its description in RNAcentral is "partial 16S rRNA". It matches the Rfam family "Bacterial small subunit ribosomal RNA", at positions 372 to 507 of the family's 1533-position model. The record is from RNAcentral.